GUGAGUCAUCGAAUCUUUGAACGCACCUUGCGCUCCUUGGUAUUCCGAGGAGCAUGCCUGUUUGAGUGUCAUGAAAUCUUCAACCUGCAAGCUUAUGUGGUUUGUAGGCUUGGACUUGGAGGCUUUGUCGGCCAUGCCCGGUCGGCUCCUCUCAAAUGCAUUAGCUUGGUUCCUUGCGGAUCGGCUCUCGGUGUGAUAAUGUCUACGCCGUGACCGUGAAGCAGCGUUUGGCGAGCUUCUAAUCGUCUCGGUUAGAGACAGCUUUAUGACCUCUGACCUCAAAUCAGGUAGGACUACCCGCUGAACUUAAGCAUAUCAAUAAGCGGAGGA
Molecule: unclassified non-coding RNA, 330 nt
Filed under: Polyporales sp.
Lineage: Eukaryota; Fungi; Basidiomycota; Agaricomycetes; Polyporales
Description: partial contains 5.8S ribosomal RNA, internal transcribed spacer 2, and large subunit ribosomal RNA
Rfam family: 5.8S ribosomal RNA (bases 1-71)
Source: RNAcentral